Molecule: ribosomal RNA, 429 nt
Filed under: Bacteroidota bacterium
Lineage: Bacteria; Pseudomonadati; Bacteroidota
Description: Bacteroidetes bacterium partial 16S ribosomal RNA
Rfam family: Bacterial small subunit ribosomal RNA
Source: RNAcentral
UAGGGAAUCUUCGGCAAUGGGGGGAACCCUGACCGAGCAACGCCGCGUGAGUGAAGAAGGUUUUCGGAUCGUAAAGCUCUGUUGUUAAGGAAGAACGAGUGUGAGAAUGGAAAGUUCAUACUGUGACGGUACUUAACCAGAAAGGGACGGCUAACUACGUGCCAGCAGCCGCGGUAAUACGUAGGUCCCGAGCGUUGUCCGGAUUUAUUGGGCGUAAAGCGAGCGCAGGCGGUUAGAUAAGUCUGAAGUUAAAGGCAGUGGCUCAACCAUUGUAGGCUUUGAAAACUGUUUAACUUGAGUGCAGAAGGGGAGAGUGGAAUUCCAUGUGUAGCGGUGAAAUGCGUAGAUAUAUGGAGGAACACCGGUGGAGAAAGCGGCUCUCUGGUCUGUAACUGACGCUGAGGCUCGAAAGCGUGGGGAGCGUACAGG